This 533-nucleotide ribosomal RNA is filed under the name Saccharomyces cerevisiae (brewer's yeast). Its description in RNAcentral is "eukaryotic LSU rRNA". It matches the Rfam family "Eukaryotic large subunit ribosomal RNA", at positions 91 to 637 of the family's 3401-position model. Lineage: Eukaryota; Fungi; Ascomycota; Saccharomycetes; Saccharomycetales; Saccharomycetaceae. The record is from RNAcentral.
GAGUGAAGCGGCAAAAGCUCAAAUUUGAAAUCUGGUACCUUCGGUGCCCGAGUUGUAAUUUGGAGAGGGCAACUUUGGGGCCGUUCCUUGUCUAUGUUCCUUGGAACAGGACGUCAUAGAGGGUGAGAAUCCCGUGUGGCGAGGAGUGCGGUUCUUUGUAAAGUGCCUUCGAAGAGUCGAGUUGUUUGGGAAUGCAGCUCUAAGUGGGUGGUAAAUUCCAUCUAAAGCUAAAUAUUGGCGAGAGACCGAUAGCGAACAAGUACAGUGAUGGAAAGAUGAAAAGAACUUUGAAAAGAGAGUGAAAAAGUACGUGAAAUUGUUGAAAGGGAAGGGCAUUUGAUCAGACAUGGUGUUUUGUGCCCUCUGCUCCUUGUGGGUAGGGGAAUCUCGCAUUUCACUGGGCCAGCAUCAGUUUUGGUGGCCGGAUAAAUCCGUAGGAAUGUAGCUUGCCUCGGUAAGUGUUAUACACCUGUGCGAAUACUGCCAGCUGGGACUGAGGACUGCGACGUAAGUCAAGGAUGCUGGCAUAAUGG